CUGUCGGGAUGGUAAAGGAGGGCAUC
RNAcentral lists this non-coding RNA (26 nucleotides) under Rattus norvegicus (Norway rat). Lineage: Eukaryota; Metazoa; Chordata; Mammalia; Rodentia; Muridae. The record is from RNAcentral.